RNAcentral lists this ribosomal RNA (460 nucleotides) under uncultured bacterium. RNAcentral describes it as "partial 16S ribosomal RNA". It matches the Rfam family "Bacterial small subunit ribosomal RNA", at positions 338 to 795 of the family's 1533-position model. The record is from RNAcentral.
CCUACGGGCGACAGCAGUGAGGAAUAUUGGUCAAUGGGCGCGAGCCUGAACCAGCCAAGUAGCGUGAAGGAUGACUGCCCUACGGGCUGUAAACUUCUUUUAUAAAGGAAUAAAGUGAGGCACGUGUGCCUUUUUGUAUGUACUUUAUGUAUAAGGAUCGGCUAACUCCGCUCCAGCAGCCGCGGUAAGACGGAGGAUCCGAGCUUUAUCCGGAUUUAUUGGGUUUAAAGGGAGCGUAGAGGGGUUGUUAAGUCAGUUGUGAAAGUUUGCGGCUCAACCGUAAAAUUGCAAUGGAUACUGGCAGCCUUGAGUACAGAUGAGGUAGGCGGAAUUCGUGGUGUAGCGGUGAAAUGCUUAGAUAUCACGAAGAACUCCGAUUGCGAAGGCAGCUUACUAAACUGCCACUGACAUUGAUGCUCGAAAGUGUGGGUAUCAAACAGGAUUAGAUACCCUUGUAGUC